GAUGAACGCUGGCGGCGCGCCUAACACAUGCAAGUCGAACGAUUAAAGCACCUUCGGGUGUGUAUAAAGUGGCGAACGGCUGAGUAACACGUGGGCAACCUGCCCCUUUCAUUGGGAUAGCCACGGGAAACCGUGGAUAAUACCGAAUACUUCGAGACUUCCGCAUGGAAGACUCGAGUAAGCUCCGGCGGAGAGGGAUGGGCCCGCGGCCUGUUAGCUUGUUGGUGGGGUAACGGCCUACCAAGGCAAUGAUGGGUAGCUGGGUUGAGAGACCGACCAGGCAGAUGGGGACUGAGACACGGCCCAGACUCCUACGGGAGGCAGCAGUGGGGAAUCUUGCACAAUGGGCGAAAGCCUGAUGCAGCGACGCCGCGUGCGGGAUGAAGGCCUUCGGGUUGUAAACCGCUUUCAGCAGGGACGAGGCGAAAGUGACGGUACCUGCAGAAGAAGCCCCGGCUAACUACGUG
Molecule: ribosomal RNA, 467 nt
Filed under: uncultured bacterium
Lineage: Bacteria
Description: partial 16S ribosomal RNA
Rfam family: Bacterial small subunit ribosomal RNA
Source: RNAcentral